GGGGUUGUAGCUCAGUGGUAGAACACUUGCCUCAAACACAUGAAGCCCUGGGUUCAAUUCUUAGCACCA
This 69-nucleotide transfer RNA is filed under the name Ictidomys tridecemlineatus (thirteen-lined ground squirrel). RNAcentral describes it as "Spermophilus tridecemlineatus (thirteen-lined ground squirrel) tRNA". It matches the Rfam family "tRNA". From Rfam's summary of the family: Transfer RNA (tRNA) molecules are approximately 80 nucleotides in length. Lineage: Eukaryota; Metazoa; Chordata; Mammalia; Rodentia; Sciuridae. The record is from Rfam by way of RNAcentral.